UGGGGGAUAUUGCACAAUGGGCGAAAGCUUGAUGCAGCGACGCCGCGUGGGGGAUGAAGGCCUUCGGGUUGUAAACUUCUUUUGCUCUGAACAAGGCAUGCCUUUGGGGUGUGUUGAGUGUAGGGGUUGAUUAGCGCCGGCUAACUACGUGCCAGCAGCCGCGGUAAUACGUAGGGCGCGAGCGGUGUCCGGAAUUAUUGGGCGUAAAGGGCUUGUAGGUGGCUGGUUUCGUCUGUCGUGAAAGCUCAUGGCUUAACUGUGGGUUUGCGGUGGGUACGGGCUGGCUUGAGUGCAGUAGGGGAGGCUGGAAUUCCUGGUGUAGCGGUGGAAUGCGCAGAUAUCAGGAGGAAUACCGGUGGCGAAGGCGGGUCUCUGGGCUGUUACUGACGCUGAGGAGCGAAAGCGUGGGGAGCGAACAGG
This 420-nucleotide ribosomal RNA is filed under the name Fusobacteriota bacterium. Its description in RNAcentral is "Fusobacteria bacterium partial 16S ribosomal RNA". It matches the Rfam family "Bacterial small subunit ribosomal RNA", at positions 355 to 776 of the family's 1533-position model. Lineage: Bacteria; Fusobacteriati; Fusobacteriota. The record is from RNAcentral.